Molecule: ribosomal RNA, 502 nt
Filed under: uncultured bacterium
Lineage: Bacteria
Description: partial 16S ribosomal RNA
Rfam family: Bacterial small subunit ribosomal RNA
Source: RNAcentral
AUUGAACGCUGGCGGCAUGCCUUACACAUGCAAGUCGAACGGCAGCACGGGUGCUUGCACCUGGUGGCGAGUGGCGAACGGGUGAGUAAUACAUCGGAACGUACCUUAUCGUGGGGGAUAACGCAGCGAAAGCUGUGCUAAUACCGCAUACGCCCUGAGGGGGAAAGCGGGGGAUCGAAAGACCUCGCGCGAUUAGAGCGGCCGAUGCCUGAUUAGCUUGUUGGUGGGGUAAAAGCCCACCAAGGCGACGAUCAGUAGCUGGUCUGAGAGGACGAUCAGCCACACUGGGACUGAGACACGGCCCAGACUCCUACGGGAGGCAGCAGUGGGGAAUUUUGGACAAUGGGGGCAACCCUGAUCCAGCAAUGCCGCGUGAGUGAAGAAGGCCUUCGGGUUGUAAAGCUCUUUUGUCAGGGAAGAAACGCGCUGUGCUAAUACCGCGGCGUAAUGACGGUACCGUAAGAAUAAGCACCGGCUAACUACGUGCCAGCCGCCGCCGUAA